GAGUUUGAUCCUGGCUCAGGACGAACGCUGGCGGCGUGCCUAACACAUGCAAGUCGAACGGAGAUUUCAGUAAUGUUAUCUUAGUGGCGAACGGGUGAGUAACGCGUAGACAACCUACCUUCUAGAUGGGGACAACACUGGGAAACUAGUGCUAAUACCGAAUGUUGUAUUGAUAUUGCAUAAUGUUAAUACUAAAGAUGGCCUCUAUUUAUAAGCUAUCACUAGAAGAUGGGUCUGCGUCUGAUUAGCUAGUUGGUGAGGUAAUGGCUCACCAAGGCGACGAUCAGUAGCCGGUCUGAGAGGAUGAACGGCCACACUGGGACUGAGACAC
Molecule: ribosomal RNA, 331 nt
Filed under: uncultured low G+C Gram-positive bacterium 225ev
Lineage: Bacteria; Bacillati; Bacillota
Description: bacterial SSU rRNA
Rfam family: Bacterial small subunit ribosomal RNA
Source: RNAcentral